This 360-nucleotide ribosomal RNA is filed under the name Pseudomonas sp. CHFP23. RNAcentral's name for it is "bacterial SSU rRNA". It matches the Rfam family "Bacterial small subunit ribosomal RNA", at positions 66 to 427 of the family's 1533-position model. The record is from RNAcentral. Lineage: Bacteria; Pseudomonadati; Pseudomonadota; Gammaproteobacteria; Pseudomonadales; Pseudomonadaceae.
GCGGAUGAAUGGAGCUUGCUCCUGAAAUUCAACGGCGGACGGGUGAGUAAUGCCUAGGAAUCUGCCUGGUAGUGGGGGAUAACGUCCGGAAACGGGCGCUAAUACCGCAUACGUCCUGAGGGAGAAAGUGGGGGAUCUUCGGACCUCACGCUAUCAGAUGAGCCUAGGUCGGAUUAGCUAGUUGGUGGGGUAAAGGCCUACCAAGGCGACGAUCCGUAACUGGUCUGAGAGGAUGAUCAGUCACACUGGAACUGAGACACGGUCCAGACUCCUACGGGAGGCAGCAGUGGGGAAUAUUGGACAAUGGGCGAAAGCCUGAUCCAGCCAUGCCGCGUGUGUGAAGAAGGUCUUCGGAUUGUA